Molecule: ribosomal RNA, 301 nt
Filed under: uncultured bacterium
Lineage: Bacteria
Description: partial 16S ribosomal RNA
Rfam family: Bacterial small subunit ribosomal RNA
Source: RNAcentral
CAGUAGCCGCGGGAAAACGAAGGUCCCGAGCGUUGUUCGGAAUCACUGGGCGUAAAGGGAGCGUAGGCGGCGUGGUAAGUCAGAUGUGAAAUCCCGGGGCUCAACCCCGGAACUGCAUCCGAUACUGCCAUGCUAGAGGAUUGGAGAGGUAGCUGGAAUUCCCGGUGUAGCGGUGAAAUGCGUAGAGAUCGGGAGGAACAUCAGUGGCGAAGGCGGCCAUCUGGGACAACACUGACGCUGAGGCACGAAAGCGUGGGGAGCAAACAGGAUUAGAUCCCCCGUAGUCCCUGUCUCUUAUACC